AUAAAACACCUUUACUAUGGUGAUAGACAACUCUGAUAUUUUCUAUGGCGCUGAAUUUCAAUUUUUAAAAUUCUGGUUGUGGCCUCCUAAAUUGAUUUCACAAUUUUGUUUGCAACCUGCAGUUUGGAAAACCCUGCACUGAGUGCCCUAGAGGUUUGCUUUGAUGCUGUCCUUACUUGGAGGCCUGUUACCAGACUUCCCCCCAGCUCUGGUUGCCUUCAAGUGAGGUUGGAUGGGUUGACAUCAUUUAUGCUGAAUUCUUCUCUGGGACAAGGAUCUGGUGUAUUGGCAGUUAUGUUCUUUGUCAAUGUGGGGGCUCAGGAUAAGAUACAUCCAAAAUCUAUAUGUAUACGUUUUAUAUAAAGCUUUUAAAAAAAAAAGGCACUUGAGAACAAUCUUGAUCAGCUUACUUCCUUGCCUUUUGCUCCAUGACAAGCCCGAAAAUCAUCUUAUUACCAUAAAAAGAUCCACCAAGUUCCACUUCAGAUAAUUGCACUAUUUAUAUACUAUGUAGCACAGUACGUCUGUAAAUGAAUUUAAUUGCGUAGUCCAAUUUGAAAGACAUAAUUCUAGAAAUCACUUUUCUGUAUUGACCAGGCAUUCAGAGAAGAGGAUAAGAAGGGCCUAACCAUUUCUUUGUGUUGAUGACAGAUAAAUGGUGUUAGAAGAUCAAACCUCUAAUCUUAAAACUGAUUAUGAGAGUGCAGUCAUGAUUUGCAAAAGCUGAAGACUUUUUAUUACAGAUUGUAACCUUAGAAAUUCAUUAUUGCAAACAACACUAAAAUUCAAAAUAAUUCUUGAAAAUUCCAUUUGCAUUACAAUCUAGCCAUGUGACCUUGGGCAAGUUACAGAGUUCUAAUGUAUAAAAUGGAGGUAAUAAUAGUACCUACCUCAGUAUUUUUAUGGGGAUUAAAUGAGUUAAUAUACUGAAAACCACCCAGAACAAUAUCUAGCACACAGUAAAUGCUUCUAUGAGUAGUGUUUGUUCGUAUUAACAUGAAAGCAGCAAAAAAAUGUUUGCAUUUUCCUGUUCAUUGAAAGAGGAUGAUACUGUUCAAACUGGGUGGAAAUAUUUGGUAAAUGAGAUGGUCUUUGUGAAAAUCCUUUUUUAAAAAUUUGAUAACCUUGAUUUAAUUAGGUAACUUAAAAUUAGAAUAAUAUUGGAAAGAAAUUGCAGUUGAGCAAAAUAUUACAAAAAUCAAGAGGUUCUUCUAUGGGCAUUCAUAGGAGGCAUUGCAGUUUGGAGAAGUGAGUAGGGAAACAUCAAUUCUGAGAUUAUUAUGAAUUUCCAUGUGAUACACACAUAAAAGACCUGUAGUAACAUCUGGCACAUAGUACAUGCUCAAUAAAUGCUAUCUGUUAUUUUUACUAUGAUUUCAUUAUUGAUAAAAUCAAGAUCAUUUAUAUUCUGGGUUUCAGAUUGGUUAGAUAGGAAAUGCUGUCAAGUCACUUGUCCAGAUAGUAGAUAUUUUCUUUUCUUUUUGUGGCUCAAUUGAGACAAAGACCAGCUUCUACAAUUACCAGAUCUAUAUACCCUCAGUGUCCUAGGAUAAAAAUAGAAAAGCAAAGUGAAGAAAGACAGAGAAUGUUUUUGCUGGAGAAAGUGACCAAUGAAGUAACAUCUUUGAAAAGGUUAUUCUUGAAGGAUAAGCCCUUAGCAAGCAAAGAUCAUGCUUAGGGUGUGGGAUUGGGUGGCAAUCCCAUCAGAAAUACAGUUAUUUGAACAUGUUAGUUGAAGGAAAGGAAAUCUUUAGCGUAUAUUGAAGCUUCCUGCCAAUCAUUGCUACCUCUUUUCUUUCCCAAAAUCUGCUAUAUUAAUACAGAUCAUAUAUAGCAAGUUUCCACUCUUGAAAUUUACCUGUUCUAUGUGUUUUAUCUUCUUUAAAGUGUCAAGUAACUACUUCAUUAAAUACUCAUCCUUUUUUUUUUUUUUUUCGGAAUUCUGGGCCUUAUUGCUCUAUGUUUUAAUUGGAACAUUCUUGAUGCAAGGCCCAAAUAUUGACCCAUUAGUUCACCUCCACUGAAGACAUUACAAUGUAUGAAGUUUACUGGAAAAGAACGUUUUUGUACUUUAUUUGCUCUUAUGAAUGUAAAUGUGUAUGUUUUCCUUUUUCUUGAUAUAGAAAUUGUUUUUGUUUAAAUAACUAAUUAUUCCUUUGAUUAGACACUCAAGAAUAUAGCACUUCACUGUUAGUAUAGUUUAAUAAAUGUAUUCACUUUCCCAUAUAUAACAUGACUAUUUACAACAUUAUUACUGUAUUUCCUUGGACUUAUGUGAUAACUUUCUACUCUAAAAGUUUAUUUUGCUAUGGAAAUUAUCAUGGAUACUAUGCAAAAUUAUUAUUUUUCUAGUUGAUAUUAUUCUUUUCUUAGAAGCACAGAUAGACAAGACUUUUAAGAUGUAAUUCUGUCCUAGAAAAAUAGCUUAUUUUGCCACCUUUAGUUUUGAGAUAGCACUUCUUAAUGAACUAAACUUUUGUCUUAAUUUUCCACUACAAAUUAUCUAUCAUAUUAAAAGUAUUUAAAAUUC
RNAcentral lists this long non-coding RNA (2530 nucleotides) under Homo sapiens (human). RNAcentral's name for it is "non-protein coding lnc-EXOC4-3:1". Lineage: Eukaryota; Metazoa; Chordata; Mammalia; Primates; Hominidae. The record is from RNAcentral.